UACGAAGGGGGCUAGCGUUGCUCGGAAUCACUGGGCGUAAAGCGCACGUAGGCGGAUUGCUAAGUCAGGGGUGAAAUCCUGGAGCUCAACUCCAGAACUGCCUUUGAUACUGGCGAUCUCGAGUCCGGGAGAGGUGAGUGGAACUGCGAGUGUAGAGGUGAAAUUCGUAGAUAUUCGCAAGAACACCAGUGGCGAAGGCGGCUCACUGGCCCGGUACUGACGCUGAGGUGCGAAAGCCAGGGGAGCAAACGGG
RNAcentral lists this ribosomal RNA (253 nucleotides) under uncultured bacterium. RNAcentral's name for it is "partial 16S ribosomal RNA". It matches the Rfam family "Bacterial small subunit ribosomal RNA", at positions 524 to 776 of the family's 1533-position model. The record is from RNAcentral.